CCUACGGGUGGCAGCAGUGGGGAAUAUUGCACAAUGGGGGCAACCCUGAUGCAGCGACGCCGCGUGAUUGAAGAAGGCCUUCGGCUUGUAAAGCUCUAUCGUCGGGGAAGAAGUUUGACGGUACCUGAAUAAGAAGCCCCGGCUAACUACGUGCCAGCAGCCGCGGUAAUACGUAGGGGGCGAGCGUUAUCCGGAUUUACUGGGUGUAAAGGGCGUGUAGGCGGGCAUGCAAGCCAGAGGUGAAAUCUGGGGGCUCAACCCAGAAACUGCAUUUGAAACUGCGUGUCUUGAGUGCAGUAGAGGCAGGCGGAAUUCCUGGUGUAGCGGUGAAAUGCGUAGAUAUCAGGAGGAACACCGGUGGCGAAGGCGGCUUGCUGGACUGUGACUGACGCUGAGGCUCGAAAGCGUGGGGAGCAAACAGGAUUAGAUACCCCAGUAGUC
Molecule: ribosomal RNA, 441 nt
Filed under: uncultured bacterium
Lineage: Bacteria
Description: partial 16S ribosomal RNA
Rfam family: Bacterial small subunit ribosomal RNA
Source: RNAcentral